AUUGAACGCUGGCGGCAUGCCUAACACAUGCAAGUCGAACGGUAGCAGGUCCUUCGGGAUGCUGACGAGUGGCGGACGGGUGCGUAACGCGUGGGAAUCUGCCCAAUAGUGGGGGAUAACCCGGGGAAACUCGAGCUAAUACCGCAUACGCCCCAAGGGGGAAAGCGGGGGACCUUCGGGCCUCGCGCUAUCAGAUGAGCCUGCGUCGGAUUAGCUAGUUGGUGGGGUAAUGGCCUACCAAGGCGACGAUCCGUAGCUGGUCUGAGAGGAUGAUCAGCCACACUGGGACUGAGACACGGCCCAGACUCCUACGGGAGGCAGCAGUGGGGAAUAUUGGACAAUGGGCGCAAGCCUGAUCCAGCAAUGCCGCGUGUGUGAAGAAGGCCUGCGGGUUGUAAAGCACUUUCGGCAGGAAAGAAAAGUCAUGCGCCAAUACCGCAUGUCCUUGACGUUACCUGCAAAAGAAGCACCGGCUAACUCCGUG
Molecule: ribosomal RNA, 484 nt
Filed under: uncultured bacterium
Lineage: Bacteria
Description: bacterial SSU rRNA
Rfam family: Bacterial small subunit ribosomal RNA
Source: RNAcentral